AUGGAAGCUACCGACAGCCUCCUCAUGGCCACCGAGCUCAGGCUGGGCCUCCCCGGCACCGACGACAAGCCACACAAGAUCACCUCGGCGAUGUCGCCGCCGGCGACUCCCAGGGGCAAGAAGCGCACCCUGGACGCCUUCGAGGCCACCGCCUCCGAUGAGGCCGACAGGUCCGACGACACCGCGACCGCACCCCCCGUGGCCAAGGCACAAGUUGUCGGGUGGCCGCCGGUGAGGCGCUGCUUCCAGGAAGCGGCGAGCAAGAGCAAGGCGAAGAAAGCGGACGAGGCCAGCAGCAACAACACGCCGUCCGCGGCGGUGCCGACGAGCACCAACGGCUCCUUCGUCAAAGUGAGCAUGGACGGAGCGCCCUACCUCAGGAAGGUCGACAUGAGGAUGUACAAGGGCUACCGGGAGCUCAGGGAGGCCCUGGAGGCCAUGUUCGUCUGCUUCUCCGGGGCAGACGGCGGCGCCUCCAGCGGCGGGGGCGCAAACCCGGCCGAGUACGCCAUCACCUACGAGGACAAGGACGGCGACCUCAUGCUUGUCGGAGACGUGCCCUUCGAUAUGUUCAGCGGCACAUGCAAGAAGUUGAGGAUCAUCAAGAGAUCCGAAGCCACAGGCCUGGGAUCCAAAUAA
RNAcentral lists this ribosomal RNA (639 nucleotides) under Triticum aestivum (bread wheat). RNAcentral's name for it is "partial small subunit ribosomal RNA". Lineage: Eukaryota; Viridiplantae; Streptophyta; Magnoliopsida; Poales; Poaceae. The record is from RNAcentral.